UUGAUCAUAGAUCAAAUACAUAGUGGCCAUUCCGGCCGAGACUACUGCAGUCCGUUGUGCGCUCAGAAGUGCACUCUACUGCAAAGCAAGGGGUUCCCACACGACUACAAAGGAAAAGUGCAGUCUGGGUUAACCCCUAAAACAUCUCACGAAUUUAACAUGAUCCGUCACUUCGUUCAAAAUGUGCUGCGCAUCAAAGAGUUGGCCUACAUUCAUUCACCCGGAACACGUAUUCCAUCCCUACCUGGUCGUCGGUGGCUUCUGUUACUCCCUUGGAUCUGCCAAUUCAAUCCCAUCAACUCAACUCCGCUGCCCGCUCCGCUACCUGGAUCUUUCUAUCUCUACACUUAAACUUGUAAAUAAAUACUCACCUUCGUCUUA
Salvelinus fontinalis (brook trout) is the source of this 381-nucleotide long non-coding RNA. RefSeq lists it as uncharacterized. The transcript is spliced from 2 exons. The record is from RefSeq and is a predicted model, not a curated record. NCBI's taxonomy places the organism in Eukaryota, Metazoa, Chordata, Actinopteri, Salmoniformes, Salmonidae.